Molecule: RNA transcript, 1907 nt
Organism: Quercus robur (English oak)
Lineage: Eukaryota; Viridiplantae; Streptophyta; Magnoliopsida; Fagales; Fagaceae
Gene name: meiotic recombination protein SPO11-1-like
Exons: 3
Source: RefSeq, a predicted model, not a curated record
AAUGAAUUUACAAUAAAAAUGCCUUUCAAUCGGUAUGUUUGGCAUUGAAAGGCUAAUGUGAAAAGCAAAAGCUGCACUUUCCUUUUGAAAUUCCCAAAAAAAAAAAAAAAAAAAAAAAAAAAUGCAAAUAGAGGAAGGACGUUCCAUCCCUCGCUAGCAGUAGCAGAGUAGUAGUAUUAGAUUUAGAGCAGAAACAAAAGAGAGCAAGGAAGGACGUUCCACAUUCAAGCUAUUAUGCGCUGGAGUUGGUUCAUGCCAUUUCAUCAUUUCUUUUUUAAAAGAACAGAGGAAAGAGAGGAAACAGAGAGAGCGUUUUAUGAGAAUGGAAGCAAGUUACUUGAGAAGCUGAUUGCCUCUUGCAAUGCCAAGCCUAUUCCCAUCCGUACCUUCUCCGCUCAACAGCUCCGCCAAGCGACCAACAACUUUUCUUCUGAAAAGCUGGUAUUGGGGUUCUCUAUUUGGUACAAGGUUUCUCUUGAAGGACGAAUUUUUCUCAUUAAGGCUUCUUUUGUUCGCAAUACCAAGCUUAUUCCCAUCCAUACCAUCUCCCUUCAACAACUCCGCCAAGCAACCAACAAUUAUCCUGCUCAACAUCUGGAAAUUUAUUGGUACAAAGGUUCUCUUGAAGGACGAAUUGUUCUCAUUAAGCGUUUAGAUAAUUUGGCCUAUAUAGCCAUCAAUGAUUUAGUGAUUUCUGCACAAUUGAGUGGUCACAGCAAUGUAUUAAAGCCCAUAGGUUGUUGUCUCCACACUCGAAUCCCCAUUUUGGUGUUUGAAUUUGCCGCCAAUGGUUUCCUUUCUGAUCGAAUUUAUGUCUCCCGUGUUACUGAACUACAACAUGAGCCGAUGGAGUGGGAGAGAAGGUUAAAGAUUGCAAGGCAGAUUGCUCAUGCUCUUUCUUAUCUCCAUACUGCCUUCCCUAGACCUGUCAUCUACAUGGGUAUGGAUCUGCACAGUAUCUUAUUAGAUGAACAUGAUGUUCCCAAAUUGUCCCACUUUCAUUUUUCUGUGUCAAUUCCCGAAGGUGAAGCUGACGUGGACGCUCCUUUUCUUUCAGCGUUCAAAUCCCCCGAGUUUAAAACAGCAGGCAAGGUAACUGAAAAAGCUGAUGUAUAUGAUUUUGGUCUGAUUCUUCUAGAACUUUUAACUGGAGAGGAUUCUUGGCAAAUAUCUAGAUUGACAAUUGAUAAAGAUUCUAGUUUAGUAGCAUACAUACAUAACCGUGCUCAAGGUAGUUGCAUAAACGAGAUUGUGGAUCCUGCAAUCUUGGCUGAAGGAGGUGCUAGUUUACAGUACCAAUUACAGGCUGUGGCAGACCUUGCCUUGACAUGUACAGAAGAAGAUCCACAAAGAAGGCCAACUAUGGUUGAUGUCACCAAACAACUCAGGCGGAUUGAAAGGUUCACAAAAAUGGGUGAAGAGCUUGGGGGAAAUUUGCAGAAUUUAAAGCUUCUUGAGAGUUUUGAAGAGCAUGCUUCUGCAUCAUUUAAAAGGAAUGCUUCCAGUGAUGAAAUCCAAGCAGUGAACGAAGCCUCUGAAAGGCCUCUUGAAGUUUAAUUGUGAUGCAACUGAAUGAUGACAGAGCUUGUAUGGCAGUUUUAACCUGUGAUUGGGAAGUUAUCAUUAUGGCAAACCCUUAAGGCAUGCCAACAGGUUGAUUUCAAGUCUUCCUAGUUCACAAUGACUCAAAAUUUAAGAGAUUAAAAGGAAGAGAUUAGAGAUUUGAAGGCAAGAGAUUAAAGAUUUGAAGGCACAGCCAAGGAAGAUAAGUCGUGUUCAUUGUUAAUAUUCUUCUACAUUGAUGCUCUAAGAGUCUUAUUCAUAGUAAAAUGAACUAACCACCCAAAUUUGUCUGGCAAACUUAUUUCCUCAUGACAUUACCAUAGACAAUAAUAACUGGUACAUUG